CAACUAGCACUCAUCGUUUACGGCGUGGACUACCGGGGUAUCUAAUCCCGUUCGCUCCCCACGCUUUCGCACCUCAGCGUCAAUAUCGAGCCAGGUAGCCGCCUUCGCCACUGGUGUUCUUUCCAAUAUCUACGAAUUUCACCUCUACACUGGAAAUUCCACUACCCUCUCUCGAAUUCUAGCAAAUCAGUAUCAAACGCAAUUCCAGGGUUAAGCCCUGGGCUUUCACGCCUGACUGGAUUCGCCGCCUACGCGCGCUUUACGCCCAGUAAUUCCGAGCAACGCUAGCCCCCUCCGUAUUACCGCGGCUGCUGGCACGGAGUUAGCCGGAGCUUCUUCUCCCGCUACAGUCAUCAUCUUCACGGGUGAAAGAGUUUUACAACCCUAAGGCCUUCUUCACUCACGCGGCAUCGCUGGAUCAGGGUUUCCCCCAUUGUCCAAUAUUCCCCACUGCUGCCUCCCGUAGGAGUCUGGACCGUGUCUCAGUUCCAGUGUGGCUGAUCAUCCUCUCAGACCAGCUAUCGAUCGUUGCCUUGGUAGGCCAUUACCCUACCAACUAGCUAAUCGAACGCGGGAUCCUCUAACGACGGCCUAAGCCUUUCCCCCGAAGGGCGUAUGCGGUAUUAGCAGUCGUUUCCAACUGUUAUUCCCCAUCGUAAGGUAGAUUCCCACGCGUUACUCACCCGUCCGCCACUAAGGUAACCGGAGCAAGCUCCGGGCCUUCGUUCGACUUGCAUGUGUUAAGCGUGCCGCCAGCGUUCGCUCUGAGCCAGGAUCAAACUCU
Molecule: ribosomal RNA, 784 nt
Filed under: uncultured bacterium
Lineage: Bacteria
Description: partial 16S ribosomal RNA
Source: RNAcentral